This 352-nucleotide ribosomal RNA is filed under the name uncultured bacterium. RNAcentral describes it as "bacterial SSU rRNA". It matches the Rfam family "Bacterial small subunit ribosomal RNA", at positions 8 to 350 of the family's 1533-position model. The record is from RNAcentral.
AGAGUUUGAUCCUGGCUCAGGAUGAACGCUGGCGGCGUGCCUAACACAUGCAAGUCGAACGGAAUUUACAUGAAGCCUAGCGAUUGUAAAUUUAGUGGCGGACGGGUGAGUAACGCGUGGGUAACCUGCCUUGUACUGGGGGACAACAGUUGGAAACGACUGCUAAUACCGCAUAAGCGCACGGCUUCGCAUGAAGCAGUGUGAAAAACUCCGGUGGUACAAGAUGGACCCGCGUCUGAUUAGCUGGUUGGUGAGGUAACGGGCCACCAAGGCGACGAUCAGUAGCCGGCCUGGAGAGGGUGAACCGGCCACAGUUGGGACUGAGACACGGCCCAAACUCCUACGGGAGGCA